CUCACUAGUCGAGAGGUCCUGCGCCGAAAAUGUCCGGGGCUGAAACACACUGCCGAAGCUCAGGAAUGUACCUAGUACAUUGGUAGAGGAGCAUUGUAUACGGGACGAAGCAGUACCGAUAAGGAGCUGUGGACUGUAUAGAAGAGAGAAUGCCGGAAUGAGUAGCGAGAGGAAGGUGAGAAUCCUUCCGGCCGAAUAUCUAAGGUUUCCAGAGUAAAGCUGAUCUGCUCUGGGUAAGUCGGGGCCUAAGGAGAGGUCGCAAGACGUAUCCGAUGGAUAACAGGUUUAGAUUCCUGUACCACGCAUUAUCAGAACUGUAGGGACGCAUGUGGAAAGCACGAGCCGGGAAUGGAAAAACCGGUACAAGCGAGGUAGGUGUACAAUAGGCAAAUCCGUUGUAUAAUCCGAAGACGUGAUGUGGAGCGAAAUAAAGUAGUGAAGCGUGUGAGCCAUGUGCCGAGAAAAGCUGCUAUUGUGUAAUGCGUGCCCGUACCGUAAACCGACACAGGUGGAUGAGGAGAGAAUCCUAAGGCCGACGGAAGAAGCAUUGUUAAGGAAUUCGGCAAAAUGACCCCGUAACUUCGGGAGAAGGGGUGCCCACGAGAGUGGGCCGCAGAGAAUAGGCUCAAGCAACUGUUUAGCAAAAACACAGGUCUAUGCGAAACCGAAAGGUGAGGUAUAUGGGCUGACGCCUGCCCGGUGCUGGAAGGUUAAGGGGAGAGGUUAGCGCAAGCGAAGCUUUGAACUUAAGCCCCAGUAAACGGCGGCCGUAACUAUAACGGUCCUAAGGUAGCGAAAUUCCUUGUCGGGUAAGUUCCGACCCGCACGAAAGGCGUAAUGAUUUGGGCACUGUCUCAACAAUGCACCCGGUGAAAUUGAAAUACCAGUGAAGAUGCUGGUUACCUGCGCCAGGACGGAAAGACCCCAUGGAGCUUUACUCCAGCUUGAUACUGGGAUUCGGUAUUGCAUGUACAGGAUAGGUGGGAGGCUAGGAAAUGGUAACGCCAGUUGCCAUGGAGCCAUUGUUGGGAUACCACCCUUGCAGUACUGGGUUUCUAACCAGCAGCCGUGAUCCGGCUGGGGGACAAUGUCAGGUGGGGAGUUUGACUGGGGCGGUCGCCUCCGAAAGGGUAUCGGAGGCGCUCAAAGGUUCCCUCAGAAUGGUUGGAAACCAUUCGAAGAGUGCAAAGGCAGAAGGGAGCUUGACUGCGACACCGACGGGUGGAGCAGGUACGAAAG
RNAcentral lists this ribosomal RNA (1239 nucleotides) under human gut metagenome. RNAcentral's name for it is "bacterial LSU rRNA". It matches the Rfam family "Bacterial large subunit ribosomal RNA", at positions 1141 to 2405 of the family's 2925-position model. The record is from RNAcentral.